CAGUGAUGCACUGCAUUCCACUGUCUGAUUUUAAAACCUCUGUAGGGAAGUUGCUGUAAGAAACUGAAAUGCAAUUUCCUUGCAAUAAAAUUCUUUCUUAGUCAUGACCCAGCCCUAAAGGGUUAUGGGCUCCGGCAAGCAGUUAGUUACUCACUCUCUCCUUUCUGGUCUAAAUUGGGUUGGAAUAUAUAUCAAAGGAAGCCAGAAAGUGGUUGGGGAGAUUAAAAAAAACAACAACAACAACGUUUAGACUGAAUGUCUUGACGGUCCAUCCAUUCACUUCUGCUUUGAAAAUGGAAUGUCUCAUUAAAUGACAUCAAAGCCUGAUUCUGCAAUUAAAAAAGCGUUUAUAUUAACUGGAUUUUGAAAAGAGAAAAGAACAAUAAAACCACCCCCCAAUUCUUCAAACAACAAAAGAGGAAACACAGCAACCCCCUUCCCCAAAUUUUGGCAUUUGUUCACCUCUUUUAACCCUUGCUUUUUUGUAAAAUAACUUAUGGAGAAAUUGUUGUGAGCAAAAGGUCUUAAUUGCAAAAAAAAAAAAAAAUCCUUUUAGGAGUGUUUAAAAUAAAAUGACAGAGUAUAUUUAUGGAGCCUGGACAAUGCAUCCUUUUCUCAUAUUUUCCAGUUUUGUAAUGCCUAAGUACUCGUCUAGAAUCUGAAUUUAGUAAUGCCAAUAUUGGACUCUUUCACAUACAUUCUAUAGAGUUAUUAGUAAACUCAUGACAACCAACUAACCAACCAGGCAAACAAAAACAUAUUUAGAAACCCAAGCUGUAAGGCACAGCUCAUGCACACACACACAAAAUUUCAUCCCAAAAUAUGUAUGAACUUUGAGGGAACAAUCAGCACUCUAAAGCAGCCGAACCCCCUGCACAGUUAGGAAUGAGCGGGCUUCUGGCAGUGUCUUUUAAAAAGGCACAGAGAUUUGCGUAUAGACAUAUUUCUAGUGCAUCAAUGACAGGUGGCUCUUCCCCAUCUAAGCAGGAUGGAUGGAGGGAGUUAGGUACAAUGGCUUAUAAUUUUCAAAUACUGUAAUUUUUUUUGUAAAGAUGGAAACCAUUAUUUUUUAAAAGCAUGUGGUUUCAAUAGUGCAUAUUUGAUUUAUGACUAAGAAUUCUUUUUCUCCAUGCCAUAUUAGUACCCUCACUUAAUUAAAUAGUUUUCUUUUUUGAAACUUAGAUUGGACAGAAAUCUGUUUUACCAAGGUAGUGAAUAUGGCUUUGUCAAAAUCUCUGUGUGUUUGUGUGUGUGUAUGUUGAAAUAAGUGCAGAAUUGAGAUAAUGAUGUGGAC
This 1294-nucleotide long non-coding RNA is filed under the name Homo sapiens (human). Its description in RNAcentral is "HSALNT0041406". The record is from RNAcentral. Lineage: Eukaryota; Metazoa; Chordata; Mammalia; Primates; Hominidae.